GAAAGAUGUAGUUGCAACAUAUCAAUCAAACUUUUGGGGACCAUGGUGGAACUACAAUAUGGUGCCACAAGAGAAAAAGGAUGCAUGGUGGACAAGUUUUGUGCAAAAAUACUAUUGGGAUCCUCAACAUCACAGUGAGGUUCGUUCUCACUGGGAAGAAAUUCACCAAAACUCAAUCAGAGACCUUGUGAGCAUGAGGAGGAGAUCAAAAGCAAAAAAAGAAGCCAGACUUCAUUGGCCUAGCUGACUGGAACAUGAUGCUUGAGAUUUGGGAGGAGGAGCCCCACCAAAAGAGGAGCACAACAAAUUCAAAGAAUGCCACUUCAAAUCCAGAUGGUUUAGGCACUCACCGUCAUACUUCAGGAUAAAAAAAUCACACUCGUAUUGCUUAUGACAUGACGGUUGAGGCUGGUGGAGUAGCACCAGCAUUAACUGAGUUAGUGCGUAAGACCCACACUUCAAGAGAUGGCACCUGCAUUGACAAACGAGCAGAAGCUUAUGUGAAGGCAGCUGAAGCUCUUGCCUUGGAGCGAUCACAAAGUUCCACAGAGACCGGUGAAACUGCCUCCGCACCCUCUAACCAGCAGCUCAAUGCUCUGCUUAUAUUGAAAUGGCAACUAAUACUAAAGGUAGAGUCUAUGGGCUUGGUUCACUUCAGUAUGUUGAUGUUGAACCCAAGGAGUCUCCGGCAGCUUCUCUGCGUAGAAGCGUUGAAGUUGAUGGACGAUUGACCACUGUGGAGGGUGUUGUGACUGGGUUGAAACAAAGCAUCGACUUGUUGUUGAAGAUGAAUGGAGUGGAUCCUGUUACCCAUCAACCUAUUCCACGUGAGAGUGGUGCAUCUGUUCCAAGUCCUCAUUCUGAUUCUAGCCAAGAACUUAACCAGCACUCUCCCACUCCUUAACACUUCAAUCUAUCCUAGGUGUAUUUUGUGUUUCCUUGUGCAAUAUUAAUCUCUAACAUCCAUAGAUGUCUUUUGUAAACACAUCAUUAGGUGUCUAUUGUAAACAUCGUUAGAUGUCUUUUGUAAAAACAUCUUUAGAUGUCUUUUGUUUAAUUGAAGACCAUCAAUAGAUGUCUUCUUUA
Long non-coding RNA from Brassica oleracea var. oleracea, 1086 nucleotides. RefSeq lists it as uncharacterized. The record is from RefSeq and is a predicted model, not a curated record. Lineage: Eukaryota; Viridiplantae; Streptophyta; Magnoliopsida; Brassicales; Brassicaceae. The transcript is spliced from 4 exons.